This 497-nucleotide ribosomal RNA is filed under the name uncultured bacterium. Its description in RNAcentral is "partial 16S ribosomal RNA". It matches the Rfam family "Bacterial small subunit ribosomal RNA", at positions 28 to 507 of the family's 1533-position model. The record is from RNAcentral.
GAUGAACGCUGGCGGCGUGCCUAAUACAUGCAAGUCGAGCGAACGGACGAGAAGCUUGCUUCUCUGAUGUUAGCGGCGGACGGGUGAGUAACACGUGGAUAACCUACCUAUAAGACUGGGAUAACUUCGGGAAACCGGAUCUAACACCGGAUAAUAUUUUGAACCGCAUGGUUCAAAAGUGAAAGACGGUCUUGCUGUCACUUAUAGAUGGAUCCGCGCUGCAUUAGCUAGUUGGUAAGGUAACGGCUUACCAAGGCAACGAUGCAUAGCCGACCUGAGAGGGUGAUCGGCCACACUGGAACUGAGACACGGUCCAGACUCCUACGGGAGGCAGCAGUAGGGAAUCUUCCGCAAUGGGCGAAAGCCUGACGGAGCAACGCCGCGUGAGUGAUGAAGGUCUUCGGAUCGUAAAACUCUGUUAUUAGGGAAGAACAUAUGUGUAAGUAACUGUGCACAUCUUGACGGUACCUAAUCAGAAAGCCACGGCUAACUACGUG